GCGGGAUGUAUCAAGUUCGCAGUCACGUCCGUCAGAAGGGGACGUUAAAUCCGAUGCCUCAUGUAAAGAGAGUGCCACGCUGUUUGCACGUUAAGAACCCUUGCAACAACUCUUUGAGGGGUCCGUAGGUGGCCUGUUGCAAGGCAAAAUGUCUGUCCCUAUCCAAUAUACCCUCAUUUUCCAGUGGCAGUCCAAAUUUCCCCGACCAUCAUCCUAGAUGGCCUCUAUAACAACAACCUACCUAUUGUAUUUAUUGUAAACUUGUUCUCGUCCUGAAUAUGCAUGAAAUAUUUGCCACUGGACGUUAAGCAACCAACAAUCAAUCAAUCAAUUAUAU
This 337-nucleotide long non-coding RNA is filed under the name Mytilus galloprovincialis (Mediterranean mussel). The record is from RNAcentral. Lineage: Eukaryota; Metazoa; Mollusca; Bivalvia; Mytilida; Mytilidae.